Molecule: ribosomal RNA, 520 nt
Filed under: uncultured bacterium
Lineage: Bacteria
Description: bacterial SSU rRNA
Rfam family: Archaeal small subunit ribosomal RNA
Source: RNAcentral
AACCUCCGCAAUGUGAGAAAUCGCGACGGGGGGAUCCCAAGUGCCAUUCUUAACGGGAUGGCUUUUCAUUAGUGUAAAGAGCUUUUGGAAUAAGGGCUGGGCAAGACCGGUGCCAGCCGCCGCGGUAACACCGGCAGCUCUAGUGGUAGCAGUUUUUAUUGGGCCUAAAGCGUCCGUAGCCGGUUUAAUAAGUCUCUGGUGAAAUCCUGUAGCUUAACUGUGGGAAUUGCUGGAGAUACUAUUAGACUUGAGACCGGGAGAGGUUAGAGGUGCUCCCAGGGUAGAGGUGAAAUUCUGUAAUCCUGGGAGGACCGCCUGUUGCGAAGGCGUCUAACUGGAACGGUUCUGACGGUGAGGGACGAAAGUUAGGGGCGCGAACCGGAUUAGAUACCCGGGUAGUCCUAACCGUAAACGAUGCGGACUUGGUGUUGGGGUGGCUUUGAGCUGCUCCAGUGCCGAAGGGAAGCUGUUAAGUCCGCCGCCUGGGAAGUACGGUCGCAAGACUGAAACUUAAGGAAUU